This 732-nucleotide ribosomal RNA is filed under the name Triticum aestivum (bread wheat). Its description in RNAcentral is "partial small subunit ribosomal RNA". Lineage: Eukaryota; Viridiplantae; Streptophyta; Magnoliopsida; Poales; Poaceae. The record is from RNAcentral.
AUGCGUGGACCUGGAAUGACUAUGCAUAGAUUACCACUUUUUGUGUGGUCCGUUCUAGUGACAGCAUUCCUACUUUUAUUAUCACUUCCGGUACUGGCAGGGGCAAUUACAAUGUUAUUAACUGAUCGAAACUUUAAUACAACCUUUUUUGAUCCUGCAGGAGGGGUUGACCCAAUAUUAUACCAGCAUCUCUUUUGGUUCUUCGGUCAUCCACAUGUGUAUAUUCUCAUUCUGCCUGGAUUUGGUAUUAUUAGUCAUAUCGUAUUGACCUUUUCAAGAAAAUCGGUCUUCGGGUAUCUAGGCAUGGUUUAUGCCAUGAUAAGUAUAGGUGUUCUUGGAUUUCUAGUUUGGGCUCAUCAUAUGUUUACUGUGGGCUUAGACAUUGAUAUGCGUGCCUACUUCACCGCAGCUACCAUGAUCAUAGAUGUGCCCACAGGAAUCAAAAUCUUUAGUUGGAUCACUACCAUGUGGGGAGGUUCGAUACAAUACAAAACACCCAUGUUAUUUGCUGUAGGGUUCAUCUUUUUGUUCACCAUAGGAGGGCUCACUGGAAUAGUUCUAGCAAACUCUGGGCUAGACAUUGCUCUACAUCAUACUUAUUAUGUGGUUGCACAUUUCCAUUAUGUACUUUCUAUGGGAGCCGUUUUUGCUUUAUUUGCUGGAUUUUACUAUUGGGUGGGUAAAAUCUUUGGUCGGACAUAUCCUGAAACUUUAGGCCAAAUCCAUUUUUAG